UACAGAGGGUGCGAGCGUUAAUCGGAAUUACUGGGCGUAAAGGGCGCGUAGGCGGCCCAUUAAGUUAGGCGUGAAAUUCCUGGGCUCAACCUAGGGACUGCGCAUAAGACUGGUGGGCUAGAGUAUUGUAGAGGGCAGUGGAAUUUCCGGUGUAGCGGUGAAAUGCGUAGAGAUCGGAAGGAACACCAGUGGCGAAGGCGGCUGCCUGGACAAAUACUGACGCUGAUGCGCGAGAGCGUGGGGAGCAAACAGG
Molecule: ribosomal RNA, 253 nt
Filed under: uncultured bacterium
Lineage: Bacteria
Description: partial 16S ribosomal RNA
Rfam family: Bacterial small subunit ribosomal RNA
Source: RNAcentral